This 253-nucleotide ribosomal RNA is filed under the name uncultured bacterium. RNAcentral describes it as "partial 16S ribosomal RNA". It matches the Rfam family "Bacterial small subunit ribosomal RNA", at positions 524 to 776 of the family's 1533-position model. The record is from RNAcentral.
UACGGGGGGGGCAAGCGUUGUUCGGAAUUACUGGGCGUAAAGGGCUCGUAGGCGGCCAACUAAGUCAGACGUGAAAUCCCUCGGCUUAACCGGGGAACUGCGUCUGAUACUGGAUGGCUUGAGUGUGGGAGAGGGAUGCGGAAUUCCAGGUGUAGCGGUGAAAUGCGCAGAUAUCAGGAGGAACACCGGUGGCGAAGGCGGUUCUCUGGGCAUGUCCUGACGCUGAGGAGCGAAAGUGUGGGGAGCGAACAGG